RNAcentral lists this long non-coding RNA (423 nucleotides) under Rattus norvegicus (Norway rat). RNAcentral's name for it is "long non-coding RNA NONRATT016168". Lineage: Eukaryota; Metazoa; Chordata; Mammalia; Rodentia; Muridae. The record is from RNAcentral.
GAAACAAAUGUAAAUACUCAGACACGGCUACAGUGGUAAUUCUCUGCAAAACUUGUUUGGACGUUGGAAAGUUAAUAAAGACUCGUUUUCUUUGUAAAAGGAUUAAACCGUCCACAUGUAUAUUUAAUACAGAAAACCAUAGCGCUGUGCACACUGCACAUCCUCGCCCAGGAGCUUUUAUGUUGUUUGACAGUGUGUGGUUGCACAUGGACUUUUUAUUCAAAGACCCAAGUAUAAAGAACUUGACAGGUUUACUCCGACACUUUGUAUUUGUAUGUUGUUAUGUAAGGAUAAUUUUAAAUGACUACAUAAAACUCUCUGAUACUUUCUAGCCUAAACGUGUGCAGGCAUACAAAGAAUUCUAAGUGUUUUGAGCUUAUGCCGAGAUAAGGAUGAAACCUAUUUUCUUUCAGAGGAUAGAAA